AUUGAACGCUGGCGGCAUACUUUACACAUGCAAGUCGAACGGUAACAGGUUAAGCUGACGAGUGGCGAACGGGUGAGUAAUGCAUCGGAACGUGCCCGAUCGUGGGGGAUAACGCAGCGAAAGCUGCGCUAAUACCGCAUACGAUCUGAGGAUGAAAGCGGGGGACCGUAAGGCCUCGCGCGAUCGGAGCGGCCGAUGUCAGAUUAGGUAGUUGGUGGGGUAAAGGUCCACCAAGCCGACGAUCUGUAGCUGGUCUGAGAGGACGACCAGCCACACUGGGACUGAGACACGGCCCAGACUCCUACGGGAGGCAGCAGUGGGGAAUUUUGGACAAUGGGCGAAAGCCUGAUCCAGCAAUGCCGCGUGCAGGAAGAAGGCCUUCGGGUUGUAAACUGCUUUUGUACGGAGCGAAAAGGUCCUUUCUAAUACAAGGGGCUCAUGACGGUACCGUAAGAAUAAGCACCGGCUAACUACGUGCCAGCAGCCGCCGUAA
This 493-nucleotide ribosomal RNA is filed under the name uncultured bacterium. Its description in RNAcentral is "partial 16S ribosomal RNA". It matches the Rfam family "Bacterial small subunit ribosomal RNA", at positions 30 to 523 of the family's 1533-position model. The record is from RNAcentral.